AGCAGCCGCGGUAAUUCCAGCUCCAAUAGCGUAUAUUAAAGUUGUUGCAGUUAAAAAGCUCGUAGUUGAAUUUCGGAAUCAAUAUGUUGGUCGUGCCUUGGUACGUACUAAUUUAUUGGUUUCUUCCUUCUGACGAACCAUUAUGUCAUUAAUUUGGUGUCUUGGGGAAUCAGGACUGUUACUUUGAAAAAAUUAGAGUGUUUAAAGCAGGCUCACGCUUGAAUACAUUAGCAUGGAAUAAUGAAAUAGGACGUUUGAUUCUAUUUUGUUGGUUUCUAGGAUCGACGUAAUGAUUAAUAGGGAUAGUUGGG
Molecule: ribosomal RNA, 311 nt
Filed under: uncultured Glomus
Lineage: Eukaryota; Fungi; Glomeromycota; Glomeromycetes; Glomerales; Glomeraceae
Description: SSU rRNA
Rfam family: Eukaryotic small subunit ribosomal RNA
Source: RNAcentral